AACGAACGCUGGCGGCAUGCUUAACACAUGCAAGUCGAACGAUCCCUUCGGGGAUAGUGGCGAACGGGUGAGUAACGCGUGGGGACCUGCCCUGGAGUGGGGGAUAACCGCUGGAAACGG
Molecule: ribosomal RNA, 120 nt
Filed under: uncultured bacterium
Lineage: Bacteria
Description: partial 16S ribosomal RNA
Rfam family: Bacterial small subunit ribosomal RNA
Source: RNAcentral